Molecule: ribosomal RNA, 434 nt
Filed under: uncultured bacterium
Lineage: Bacteria
Description: bacterial SSU rRNA
Rfam family: Bacterial small subunit ribosomal RNA
Source: RNAcentral
GAUGAACGCUGGCGGCGUGCCUAAUACAUGCAAGUCGAACGAGGUGCUUGAGUAGCAAUACGAGAGUAUCCUAGUGGCGAACGGGUGAGUAACGCGUUGGUGACCUACCCCAAAGUGUGGGAUAACAGUCCGAAAGGAUUGCUAAUACCGCAUGUGGUUAUCGGAUUUAGAAACUGAUAUCUAAAGGAGCAAUUCGCUUUGGGAGGGACCUGCGUCCCAUCAGCUAGUUGGUGAGGUAAUGGCUCACCAAGGCUACGACGGGUAGGGGACCUGAGAGGGUGACCCCCCACAAUGGAACUGAAACACGGUCCAUACACCUACGGGUGGCAGCAGUAGGGAAUAUUGCUCAAUGGGCGAAAGCCUGAAGCAGCAACGCCGCGUGUGCGAUGAAGGCCUUCGGUCGGUAAGCACUUUCUGAGGGAGUGAGCAAGGAC